This is a long non-coding RNA of Chrysemys picta bellii (western painted turtle), 2079 nucleotides long. RefSeq lists it as uncharacterized. The record is from RefSeq and is a predicted model, not a curated record. Lineage: Eukaryota; Metazoa; Chordata; Testudines; Emydidae.
CUGUUGCUAAUGGGAACAAAUGUCGUUUAUGACUAUAAAAGCCAAGUCACAGAAGAAACAAAAAUUCCUAGCAAAGAAUGACCCGAGCGACUCAGACAGGAGGUAAACAUCUCCCUGUAGGGCACUUCAAGGGCAGACUUGGGGACUCUCCAGACAGAGCCAGUGCGUAUAACCCUGAAGCCAGGCAUUGAAAUUCCUCGGAUUCGUCAGUAUCCCAUCCCGCAAGAAGCUCUGCUUGGCCUCUGGAGUCUUAUCACCACAUUCCUGCGGUUGGGAGUGCUGGUUCACACCAAGUCUCUUUUCAAUACUCCCAUUCUGCCAGUCAAAAAAACCUGACAUGGACUCAGAGGGAAAACCGGUAUACCGAUUUGUCCAGGACUUACGUGCAGUAAAUAAGUAUUCCUCUAGAUAAGGACAGCUGGGACUCAAUUUCAGUCCCUACCCGCUGAUGUUCCUGCCCACCGGAUCGCUUCAGGAGACUGGGUCUAUGUGAAAGAGUGGAAACACGAGCCUCUCCAACCCCGGUGGGCGGGCCCUUUCCAAGUCCUUCUUACCUCUCACACUGCUAUUCGAGUGAAAGAGCAAGACACUUGGAUACACCAUACCCGAGUCAAGCUACCCCCUAGGACGGGGCCAGAAGCAGAUGACUUCGGACCUCGAGGGAGCACCGCCAGCUCUUCCCACCGCGACCUGGAAGAGCCAGAAGCAGACGAUACCUGGAAAGCUGAACCUCUUGAGGGACUAAAGCUUCUGUUCCUGCGAACAAAAUCCUAAGACUUUAUAAGUAUGGGUUCUUAGACGGUUUUGCAGUGGCUAUUGCUUUUGGGUUUGCCCCUUCCAGCCAGAUCCUAACCCACACCCAGCCACUAAAUCUCUUCAGCAAAUAGCCACGUUGGGACACUUAUCUGAUUGUUGGCUGUGUCACAAAACCCGCUCUGAGGAAGGAAUAGGAUUGUGGGCUGUACCUGCAAAUCUUUCUGAAGUACUCUCCUUACAGGUAGAACGGAAAAUUGAAUGGGCAUGGAUUGGGGAAUAUCAAUAUGACAAAUAUGGGAGAAGGUCUGAAGUUUGGCAUUAUUACUGGGCAGUUAAGGGGGUCCCUCUUUUUGAAUUUCUUGGGAUCGGGUAUAACAUGCCCCUUUGUUUGGAAAAUGCUGAAGGAAGUGGGCUACCUUCCCCUGGAGGCCUGUGAUCAAACCCUUCAGUUUGAAGUCAGAAAUGGAACCUUUUAUCCUUUAAAUACCCCUGAGAAUGCCCAAAAACCCCAUUGUCUCCUGCACAUGGCCAUUACUGUGAGACCAACAGGCAUUUGUUAUCAAGGGCAGUGGUUUCCCUUAUUCCUCCCGUUAGGCCCCAUAAAUAAGACACAUAUGUAUUAUAUGGAUAUUUACUCUGGCAUUCUGUUGCCCCAAACAUCCCUUGAAAGGAUGUCUGGAUGUCCAUGGGAUCACCUGCAAGUUUUACAGCUAACAUAUUUGGGGUUACGUAUUGUGGGGCCAUUUUAAACAAUACCCAUGCCCUAGGAGACUUAAAUGUUUCCCAUUGGAGGUGCCAGGACCGGCUAGCGAGUAACUCCGGGCGCUGGGAUAGAUGGGUGACCUGGCGCCAUCGAGUUGCAGGUAAUACCCUUACCCUCUAUUUAGAGACCCCUAGCUUGUAUUUUAUCUGUGGCCACAAUGUCUACAAAGCUCUCCCUUUAGGUUGGCAAGGUCGGUGCGGUGUGGCCCGGGUGUUACCAGAUGUCCAAGUGAACGACACAUUGGAUGCCAGCCAGAUCCUCAACCUGGCAGCUAUGCCCAUAAGUUUUUCACCCCCCCCCCCUUUAUAAGGACUCGAGCGAAACAUGCCAACAAUCCCCUAGUAGUCAGGCAAAUGGGGUUUCACUCCUUUGUUCGUGCGCUCAUUCCUGGGUUGGGGGUAGCCGAGCUAGAAAAAGCAGUAGUAAAUAUUUCUGCAGAACUAGAAAAAAUAGCCAAUGCAUCAAUAGACGCUUUCCAAAAGUUGAAACAGGAGAUUGAUGAGGUGGCAGAAAUAGCUUUGCAAAAUAGACGUGUGUUAGAUGCUAUGAAUGCUGAAUUA